Molecule: long non-coding RNA, 985 nt
Organism: Gadus macrocephalus (Pacific cod)
Lineage: Eukaryota; Metazoa; Chordata; Actinopteri; Gadiformes; Gadidae
Exons: 2
Source: RefSeq, a predicted model, not a curated record
ACUCCCGCCGGCAAUGAUUUUGAAUACAAGGAAGGCGCGAGAGUCCUCCAAACGAACGAAGCAAGCGGCGCGGCAGAGAGACUACAUUCUUGAGCAGGGCUGAGUAUUACAGAAACAUCAUAGUUAAAGACUUAAGUUAAGAUUGGAAUGCCUUAUAGCUGCAUAGCAGGCGCGUGCCGUAUGGGCAGGUGGGGCGGCGAACUCCCUGCAAAAGCAUUCUCCCAAAAAAAUAGUUCCUCAGUAAAUCAUUGCUCCAAGUUUAUUUUUAAUAAUGUGAUUGUCACAUUAACUAUCUAUAGUUUCUGUAGGCUUUCAGACAAUUUUUGUUCUGUUGAUAUCAAAUUGAUGGUGACGAUUCUAGUUGAGUUUAACGUGUCAUGCAAUGUGGGGCGGCGGAGCUCAACGACCGCGUCCCUCCGUAUGUUUCUCGCAUAACCCUGCAGGCUGCAAUAAGAAUUGCAAUCCGCGCUAAAGACGCGCUAACAAACACAAACCCUUCUACACUCAGCUGGUUUUCCUGACCGUUGACUUCAUGUGCCUCCUUUUGUAUCAACAGUCAUUCGAUUUGAUUAUAUUAAACUUUAUUGUCAUUGAACCAAGUAACAGGUACUUGAACAACAAAAUGCAAGUCAUCUUCUGUAAAUUAUUUACAAAUGGCCAUCUCUAAUCUACUUGGUUGCACACCUGUCUGAACUUUUAUGAACCAAUAUAAGUCACCAAUAAUUAAUAAUAAAACAAGCUUCACAUCAAGAGCAAAAAAAAUAAUAAGGUAAACCCAAAAGGUCUUAAAUACUUAGAAAUUAAAGAUAUAAAAAAAGAAAGAGAGGGAAAUCUUUGAUAGCACUUCCCCUGAAUCCCCAUUUGGCUCUUCCAAGCAUGCAGGUAAUACACUCUACUUUGGGAGUUAUUCUAUGUCACCGCACUUUGAGGGUGGCAUUGUAUGUAAAUUAUUGGAAUUGGUGAAUAAAGUGAUAUUUGCACUCAA